This is a non-coding RNA of Xenopus laevis (African clawed frog), 262 nucleotides long. The record is from Rfam. Lineage: Eukaryota; Metazoa; Chordata; Amphibia; Anura; Pipidae.
GUUCUGCAGUCUGACAGUGUCCCGGGUUGUGAGUACUCGGGUCGGACAGGCGGCAGAGAGAAUAUUCACUAGAGGGAGCCGAGACUCAGCUGCCCGAGUGCUGGGAGUUGUGCGCUAUGUCCCUCUUACACUCACUUCUGUUGCCUCACAGAUAAUAACCCUCCCCAUGUUAUUGUCCAAUCAGCAACAGGCAGAGCAACGGAGCAGUGUGAUAUUAUUUACUGGAUAAAGACUCCUGGUAAACACUGAGACUGCCACACGC